This 342-nucleotide ribosomal RNA is filed under the name uncultured Anaerolineaceae bacterium. RNAcentral's name for it is "bacterial SSU rRNA". It matches the Rfam family "Bacterial small subunit ribosomal RNA", at positions 1026 to 1382 of the family's 1533-position model. The record is from RNAcentral. Lineage: Bacteria; Bacillati; Chloroflexota; Anaerolineae; Anaerolineales; Anaerolineaceae.
ACAGGGUGACAGGUGGUGCAUGGUUGUCGUCAGCUCGUGUCGUGAGAUGUUCGGUUAAGUCCGCUAACGAGCGCAACCCUCGCCGUAUGUUACAAGUGUCAUACGGGACUGCCGGUAAAAAGCCGGAGGAAGGUGAGGAUGAUGUCAAGUCAGCAUGACCUUUAUAUCCAGGGCUACACACACGCUACAAUGGUCUGUACAAUUGGUUGCCAAGCCGCGAGGCGGAGCCAAUCCGUAAAGCAGGCCUCAGUUCAGAUUGCAGUCUGCAACUCGACUGCAUGAAGCCGGAGUUGCUAGUAACCGCAGGUCAGCAAUACUGCGGUGAAUACGUUCCCGGGUCUU